RNAcentral lists this long non-coding RNA (1819 nucleotides) under Triticum aestivum (bread wheat). Its description in RNAcentral is "long non-coding RNA (TAES_LNC009267)". Lineage: Eukaryota; Viridiplantae; Streptophyta; Magnoliopsida; Poales; Poaceae. The record is from RNAcentral.
GAUGCUUAGGUCAUGGCAUAACUUGGUGAGACCAACCGUGAAGACCGAUCCUCUUUCUGACAACAAAGCUGACACAUCUCCAUCUGUCACCAAACAAAUCUAGCAGCAGAUGCUGUGCUCUCUCGCACAAUAGAUAGAAUAUAGAAGUGUGUAGUGUACAUAUUCAUUUUACAACACACGUCUCAUUUCCAAAAGUUCUGCACCAUGUGUGUGAAAACAAGUAGAGUACUUUUUUUAGGUAAAAGGGUUUCCCCUGAUUUUCAUUAAGAAAACCAUCAAUUCUACAUCAUUCACCACCGCAACGCACCAGCAUUUGAGCAUCAAAAGAGAAAGACAGUACGAGUUUAUAAAGUGCAUUACAGAAAGAACACCUAACAUGUUGAAAACCGAAGACAAUACUAGCUUUGGAGAAAACAGUCUAAGCUUCUCCGGCAGGAUCUCAAACUGUCAGCCUCCGGAUCCAGGUCUUCCAACUUCUGCUAGCGCUGAACAAUCACAACCUACUUGUGCUACAAGUCUUGCACGCCACCGCAGCCAGUCCUUUGUGUCCUCAUUCCCCUGCAAUAAAAUCCAAUAAUCUAUCCAUUUGCAUAUCUGAAAAGUCAUAUUAAUCGGCCCGUCAGCGUUUGCAAAGUGGUAAUCAAAACUAAAAGCACAGCUGGCAACAUUCCAUACAUGUCUAGCCAUGGGGACAGGUAAAAAAAGGUGAGAGAUAGAUUCAUCCCCACUGCAAAACAAGCAUUGUUUGAUACACUUUCCACCUCUAUGGAUCUGAACAUCUCCGGUUAGUAUACUCUGAUUAAGCACUAGCCAAAUGGAUUUUUUGAUUCUUAAAGGCAUUCUCAUCUUCCACAUGAUUUUUUAUCGAACAGUAUACAAUGGUGUCGCAAGGCAUGUAGAAAUAUUUUACAGAGAAAGAUGCAUAAACGGUUAGUUUCCAAACCAACUUAUCUGAAUCUUCUGCCAAAACCACCUGGCUACAAAUGUCAUUCAGCUUAGUCAACUGUUCAUUCCUAGCAGGCUAGCACCAACCAGAGCACGUCGAAAUUGAAGGGAAUUUAAACCAACAACAAACACAUCAUGCACUGAAAUGUUUAAGAUGAGAAAAAUAGCAUAAAGUGUGGGAAAGGAAGCUGCCAGAAAACAAGUACUAGCCGGCCUCCUUGCUUCGCUUCUUUGACACACGCCCAAGGUCAUCUACGUUAGUCUAGGUGCAGCUGACAUAGCACGAAGAUCCUCAAAAACUAAAAGUAACAGCUAUUUUGAUCAAUUGCCUGAAGCCUGCGAGACAAAUUAAAGUACAUGCAUCUUGUGUUGGUUCAUCUUGGUAGUUUUCUCUCUUUGAGAAAUUCAUCUUAGUAGUUGAGUAUAUGUACGGAUGCAAGGUCCGGUGAGAGUUCAGCUGAAUGGCAAGCCAGGAGGGAACAGCAUGCGCGAGCAACCGGCACACUAGGUGGUGCAGCCUGACACGUUGGUGAAGAUGAGGUUGGUUGCUCUUUUUUACAUAAUUGUGGCGUAUUGGUUGAGGAAGUGAGACAUCAAGUUUACUUGACAACUUGACUUUUAAUUUGUGCCAUGCCAAAUUUUCUUGGACAAGUGACUUUCGGGAACAAGGGGGUUCGGUAUGAAAUCUUGCCUAGAAAUAACUACCAAAACUAAGAAGGAUACAUUCCCUGACCGCAGAAAUCAUUGACUAACUAUAGAUUGAUACUCCAUUGACGACGAAGAACACACCAUCAAGUUUUUAAUAACGCAAAAAUCUUAGAGGUCAAGAAUAUCAAGUACACACCAGGGCAGCAGGGCUAGCACCCCUCCCGCG